Non-coding RNA from Canis lupus familiaris (dog), 560 nucleotides. The record is from the annotation of a RefSeq genome assembly. Lineage: Eukaryota; Metazoa; Chordata; Mammalia; Carnivora; Canidae.
CAUUUGCAUGGAUAGGCCCUCCCUCUCAGAGAAGAAGAAGAGGGGAAGAGAGAGAUGAGAGGAGGCUCUGUUCAGCUGUGGGACCACUGAAGGCAGAGUCAGUGAUGACCUCCACCAUGGCCUGGUCCCCUCUCCUCCUCACCCUCCUCGCUCAUUGCACAGUGUCCUGGGCCCAGGCUGUGCUGACUCAGCCACCCUCUGUGUCUGCAGCCCUGGGGCAGAGGGUCACCAUCUCCUGCACUGGAAGUAACACCAACAUCGGCAGUGGUUAUGAUGUACAAUGGUACCAGCAGCUCCCAGGAAAGUCCCCUAAAACUAUCAUUUAUGGUAAUAGCAAUCGACCCUCGGGGGUCCCGGUUCGAUUCUCUGGCUCCAAGUCAGGCAGCACAGCCACCCUGACCAUCACUGGGAUCCAGGCUGAGGAUGAGGCUGAUUAUUACUGCCAGUCCUAUGAUGACAACCUCGAUGGUCACACAGUGCUCUGGGCCUGGGAGGAAGUGAGACAAAAACCUGCUUUUCCCCCAGAAAUGAGUUUUGCUUUGUAGUACCCACUGUUUGGC